RNAcentral lists this transfer RNA (72 nucleotides) under Culex quinquefasciatus (southern house mosquito). RNAcentral describes it as "tRNA-Thr". The record is from RNAcentral. Lineage: Eukaryota; Metazoa; Arthropoda; Insecta; Diptera; Culicidae.
AGUGCGUGGCCGAACGGUUACGCGGUCCGCUUAGUAAGUGGAAGAUCAUGGGUUCGAUUCCCACCUGCACCA